RNAcentral lists this ribosomal RNA (248 nucleotides) under Chaetothyriales sp. Its description in RNAcentral is "partial large subunit ribosomal RNA". It matches the Rfam family "Eukaryotic large subunit ribosomal RNA", at positions 399 to 663 of the family's 3401-position model. The record is from RNAcentral. Lineage: Eukaryota; Fungi; Ascomycota; Eurotiomycetes; Chaetothyriales.
GUGAAAUUGUUGAAAGGGAAGCGCUUGCAACCAGACUUGUUUUUAAUGCUUCCCUCAAUCUUUUGAUUGGGCUAUUCCAUUAUAUUCAGGCCAACAGCGGUUCGAGUGGUUGUUUAAAGACUUUAGGAAUGUUUCUGCUUUCGGGUCGACUUAUAGCCUAGGGUGUAAUGUGACCAAUUUGGACUGAGGAACGCGCUUUUUGCGCGGAUGUUGGCGUAAUGGUUGUAGGCGGCCCGUCUUGAAACACG